UAGAAUUGUCUGUGGUGACAUUCACAGUGGAGGGGGAAUACAGGAUAGAUACUUUGUGUUGCAGUGUUCCACGAAGAAAACCAAACCAGAACUAUGGCCAGGUUUAAUGUAAAAAGGUUGGCUGCAGCAGCUCAAUCCACUCACAAACACUCUAUGGACACACCAGCAGUCCUGUCGGUAGAGUCAGGAUAGCAAACACGAAUCAGCAGUGGUCACACUACCUAACAGAGACAGCCAGGCCUCAGCCUUGGCACAAGUCAGAAGGGGCCAGAAGGAAUGAAUGCCAGGAGAAGUUCUCAGCUGUGCCUCUCUCAGGGAAGUGAAGAUCAGCAAAGAUUCCAGACCUACAAGGAUUGCACAGCUAGUUCUAUAAACAAGCCAAGCUCUGUCUCCAUCACUGUUGGUCAAGUCCUUUUUAUACUCUCUCCAAAUAUCACAUAUCCUCCAUGGGACCUGCCUUAGCACAUGUCUUACCUCAGCAUAUGUGUCUGUCUCAGCUGAUAUCACUACGCCAAUCAGCCCAAGCCCAUGAAAGUGGUAAGAAACUGAAGCACACCACCAGACGUUUUUUGGUGUGUUUCUCUCUACUCGAUGUAAGGUGAACCAAUACAUGCAUGUCAUGUCCUUAGGGGAAAAUCCUUCAUCUUGUGUCCUUUCAAGUGCUUGCUUCAGCAGAACAUCCUUUCUCCUCUGUCAGCUUCAGCUAAAUGUUCCUUCUUGAGUCUGCCUUAAACUUUCACCUGUGUGUGCUUCAGCUAAACAUUCCUUCACAUGUUUGUCCCAGCAAAACACCAUCCAAACAACUUUCCAAAACUUUCCUUAAGUUUCAACUUCAUCUCUCAACUGUAACAGCUGGCAAGGGGUGAGAUAGCAGAGAGGGCAUCACUCCUACACCCUCACAGUGGACAGGCAGAUGAGUGACAGGGCCAGCUCUCCCAGGCCAGCUCACCUAAGUCCCUACCACUAGGGUCAGCUUUGGUGUGCUGUGCAGGUGAGUGGCAUGGUCUACUCUCCCAAGUGCUGCAGUGUGUGAGAGAUGUGGCCAGUUUUCCAGAGCACUGCAGACAGUGAGGGGAGGGACCAGUUCUGCACAGCCUCUGCAUUUCCACAUGGUCACCAACAGCUGCCCUGAUGAGGAAUGCCCCCAUAUUAUCUAGUGGUAAUAUUUGUUCCCCCUGCUGCAGUGUAGCUAUGGACUCAGAUAAGGCCCUCAGUGGCAGCUCAGGCUGGGAUCUCACCAUGGCAACAGGUGGUGGGUUUGGUCACUCACGAUAGGCUACUGCUCUCCACCCUUAAGUCUCCAGCUCCAUCUCUCCUCACAGUGCUGCUCUGCUCCUCUUUCUCUCCCAUAUGACCACCACAUGCUCGCACAUUGUGGUGGCUCCUUCUCAGGUUGGCCAUGUGGCUGGUGGGUCCCUGGGUGCCAUCCUUCAUCUGCUCUGUGUGGUGUGGCUGCAAGUGGGUGUCUAUGGUCCAGCCUGUGCCUUGCUCUGGAGUGCAGGUUUGUGGGUGGCAUGGUGGUUGGCAGGUCUAUAUCUGUCUUCCUCCUCCUGAGCUGUGCUACCUGGAUUUGAUUUCACUUGAUUGGAUUUUAGGUGUCCUAGGCACAAAACAGCUUUGGCCACCAUACCAGGCAUCAAGCUAGGAUGAACAAGGGAUUGUCAUCUGCUCUGCCCAUGACUGAUAUAAGAACAACACCACCAACAAGUAGUUUUUCCAGAAAGGAAGUGUGCUUCCUCUUUCCAUUUAGGCUGGUCACAUGACUUGUUUUGGCCAAUGAGUGAGUAACAUGAAGCAACACAAAGCAGAAAUUUCAAAUUCAGUUGUUUGUUACACUUAGUCUCUGGCAUCAAAGUGUUCGGGUGAGGGCCCCUCUCUAAGUCUAGUUUCUAGAAUAACAGGAGCUGUGAAGCAGUGUGGAACUGAGCUCUGGCUCCUAACAGGGCAGAGCCCACUGUGAAGAACCAUGAAAGCCCUCAUUAGCUUAGCUUAAAUUCAAGCUACCAUGUAAAGUUGUUGGAUUCACAGCUUACACAUUGGUUAGAGACAAACUUCUAUAUUCAGCAAAAGCCAUAGCCAGAUUGUCAGCAUGUUUGAGCUGGUUCUCUGGGUCUCCAUCUCCACAGUGAUGAUCUGAAUGGGUCUAUAUGUGGCCUGGACAAACAGUGGCCUACAGCAGGACAAUGGACUUUGAAUAACUGUAUUUCACAGCAAAUUGCAAGCAAGGCUGUUCUUCGACCCAGAGGUGGAGAUAACCUCUUCCAUCAAAAACUGCAUGUUUAGCACACCAUCAAAAACAAGCUCUUGCAUGUUUAGCACACCUCACAAACCUACAGAAGAAUGGGAGACCUAUGGAACAUCAGCUCUUAUAUACUGUUAGAAAAAAAAAAAAAGAAUGUUUGCUCUUGUGAGCCACUGUGAAACUAGAGUUUUUUGGUUAUGCAUCAAAGUUGCAAUCAUGAAUUAAAAAAAAAAAUCCACUG
RNAcentral lists this long non-coding RNA (2483 nucleotides) under Mus musculus (house mouse). RNAcentral describes it as "predicted gene, 50064". Lineage: Eukaryota; Metazoa; Chordata; Mammalia; Rodentia; Muridae. The record is from RNAcentral.